Molecule: transfer RNA, 69 nt
Filed under: Talegalla fuscirostris
Lineage: Eukaryota; Metazoa; Chordata; Aves; Galliformes; Megapodiidae
Description: tRNA-Met
Rfam family: tRNA
About the family: Transfer RNA (tRNA) molecules are approximately 80 nucleotides in length. Their secondary structure includes four short double-helical elements and three loops (D, anti-codon, and T loops). Further hydrogen bonds mediate the characteristic L-shaped molecular structure. tRNAs have two regions of fundamental functional importance: the anti-codon, which is responsible for specific mRNA codon recognition, and the 3' end, to which the tRNAs corresponding amino acid is attached (by aminoacyl-tRNA synthetases). tRNAs cope with the degeneracy of the genetic code in two manners: having more than one tRNA (with a specific anti-codon) for a particular amino acid; and 'wobble' base-pairing, i.e. permitting non-standard base-pairing at the 3rd anti-codon position.
Source: RNAcentral
AGCAAGGUCAGCUAAUCAAGCUAUCGGGCCCAUACCCCGAAAAUGACGGUUCAACCCCCUCCCCUGCUA